UCCUGACUGACCGAUAGUGAACCAGUACCGUGAGGGAAAGGCGAAAAGAACCCCGGCGAGGGGAGUGAAAAAGAACCUGAAACCGUGUACGUACAAGCAGUGGGAGCACGCUUAGGCGUGUGACUGCGUACCUUUUGUAUAAUGGGUCAGCGACUUAUAUUCUGUAGCAAGGUUAACCGAAUAGGGGAGCCGAAGGGAAACCGAGUCUUAACUGGGCGUUAAGUUGCAGGGUAUAGACCCGAAACCCGGUGAUCUAGCCAUGGGCAGGUUGAAGGUUGGGUAACACUAACUGGAGGACCGAACCGACUAAUGUUGAAAAAUUAGCGGAUGACUUGUGGCUGGGGGUGAAAGGCCAAUCAAACCGGGAGAUAGCUGGUUCUCCCCGAAAGCUAUUUAGGUAGCGCCUCGUGAAUUCAUCUCCGGGGGUAGAGCACUGUUUCGGCAAGGGGGUCAUCCCGACUUACCAACCCGAUGCAAACUGCGAAUACCGGAGAAUGUUAUCACGGGAGACACACGGCGGGUGCUAACGUCCGUCGUGAAGAGGGAAACAACCCAGACCGCCAGCUAAGGUCCCAAAGUCAUGGUUAAGUGGGAAACGAUGUGGGAAGGCCCAGACAGCCAGGAUGUUGGCUUAGAAGCAGCCAUCAUUUAAAGAAAGCGUAAUAGCUCACUGGUCGAGUCGGCCUGCGCGGAAGAUGUAACGGGGCUAAACCAUGCACCGAAGCUGCGGCAGCGACGCUUAUGCGUUGUUGGGUAGGGGAGCGUUCUGUAAGCCUGCGAAGGUGUGCUGUGAGGCAUGCUGGAGGUAUCAGAAGUGCGAAUGCUGACAUAAGUAACGAUAAAGCGGGUGAAAAGCCCGCUCGCCGGAAGACCAAGGGUUCCUGUCCAACGUUAAUCGGGGCAGGGUGAGUCGACCCCUAAGACGAGGCCGAAAGGCGUAGUCGAUGGGAAACAGGUUAAUAUUCCUGUACUUGGUGUUACUGCGAAGGGGGGACGGAGAAGGCUAUGUUGGCCGGGCGACGGUUGUCCCGGUUUAAGCGUGUAGGCUGGUUUUCCAGGCAAAUCCGGAAAAUCAAGGCUGAGGCGUGAUGACGAGGCACUACGGUGCUGAAGCAACAAAUGCCCUGCUUCCAGGAAAAGCCUCUAAGCAUCAGGUAACAUCAAAUCGUACCCCAAACCGACACAGGUGGUCAGGUAGAGAAUACCAAGGCGCUUGAGAGAACUCGGGUGAAGGAACUAGGCAAA
RNAcentral lists this ribosomal RNA (1245 nucleotides) under Shigella sonnei. RNAcentral describes it as "partial 23S ribosomal RNA". It matches the Rfam family "Bacterial large subunit ribosomal RNA", at positions 474 to 1721 of the family's 2925-position model. Lineage: Bacteria; Pseudomonadati; Pseudomonadota; Gammaproteobacteria; Enterobacterales; Enterobacteriaceae. The record is from RNAcentral.